CUUGCAUGCUACAUGGAAGGUGUGGGUGAACCCCAUGAAGGAAAAAGGAACAUGCGCCAGGACAUUCUGUACAUUCCACUCAUUAACAUGCCAGUUGCCCUUCUUCAGCCUAAGAUCCCAACCUAGAAAUGAAGAAUAAAGUUUACACUGUCAAUGGUACAUGAUCUAUGGAGAACUGAAUUAGAAUAGGGAAGUACAGGUUUGAUAAUGGGACAUUUCUAUGUUUCAGGGGGUCAUUUGUUAUAAGCUUUAUAUUAUCCAGAUCUCAUUCCAUUUUAUCUUUGAUUUAUUUUUCUGGCAUUACUCUGUUUCCUUCACCUCACUCUGCCCAACACAUUACCACUGUCCCACACCUGACAGUAAUAGUCAGCCUCGUCCUCGGCCCGGGCCCCGCUGAUGGUCAGGGUGGCCGUGUUCCCUGAGUUGGUGCCUGAGAAUCGGUCAGGGAUCCCUGAGGGCCGGUUGCUAUCCUUAUAGAUAAUCAGCACAGGGGCCUGGCCUGACUUCUGCUGGUACCAGUAAGCAUAAUAACUUCCAAUGUUGUUUCCUCCACAUGUGAUCCUGGCCGUCUGUCCCAGGUUCACUGACACUG
Leopardus geoffroyi (Geoffroy's cat) is the source of this 592-nucleotide long non-coding RNA. RefSeq lists it as uncharacterized. Lineage: Eukaryota; Metazoa; Chordata; Mammalia; Carnivora; Felidae. The record is from RefSeq and is a predicted model, not a curated record. The transcript has 2 exons.